AUAAAUAUUAACGUCCUUACAAAUCGAUUCCUAAUAAAUCUCCUUGCUUUUCGACUUUAAUCCUUAUCCAUUUGUUAUUCUGUUCGCGCUGUGAGCUUGCUGAUAGAACCUGUAAGCUUGCUGACAGUUGAACAUAACACUGAAACUUAUCAAGCUGUUAGCACAUGCAUAUAUCAUUGAUAGCUCGCUAACAAGCACCAGUUUUAUGCUAUUAGCUUGCUGGCAG
RNAcentral lists this long non-coding RNA (226 nucleotides) under Daucus carota (carrot). RNAcentral's name for it is "long non-coding RNA (DCAR_LNC006319)". Lineage: Eukaryota; Viridiplantae; Streptophyta; Magnoliopsida; Apiales; Apiaceae. The record is from RNAcentral.